GUGGUGAAUUAACAUCUUUUGAUUUAGUCUAUUGUCCCUGAUAGCAUUUUAUUUCCAACCGUGCAAUUGCUGAUGCUUCUGUUUUCUUUUUGCUUUUUCCCCUGCAGCUUAACUAACAUUGACUACUGUGUUAGGAUUAGUCAUUGCUGACUGUGCCAGCCUGCAGCCUCAUAAUCAGAGCCUUGUCACCAAGCAUGGCUGCCUCAGUGACUGGAAUGGAAAUGAAAAUAAAGCAAGUGUUAUUUUCCUCAUCCUGAAGCAACAGAGAACUGCAUCAGGCUUACCAACAUGAACGUGGGUAAGAAGGAGUUUUGAAGUCCAGCAAAGAUUUUAUAGCUAGUGAGGCUGGCUGGAAGCAGGGUCGAUCUGGUCUGAUGUGUUGCAAGAUGUGAACUUAUUAAGGCAUCACAGAGGCAACUCCCAGCGGGGGUGGAGGAGAGCAGCAGGGAUGGAAAGGAAGAAGACUCUCAAGAUAGGAUGCUCCAAAGGAUGAUUGGAAGAGAAGGGUGAUGUCUGGAAGCGAUAAGCCUCAGAUGUUUGUUUGCACCUUACUGGAAAGCCAUGUAAAUUAAUGGAAACUUCCUGGCAAAAUAGCUUGACUUGUAGCAACUUCACAACCAUAACAAUCCAGAGGUGAGGUUUGCCCGCACCCUAUUCAUUUCAAUCCCGAAGGCAAUUUUCCCCUUGGCCAGAGAGAAGCUCAAGAACAAAAAACCAAACACCGCAUGUUCUCACUCAUAGGUGGGAAUUGAACAAUGAGAACACAUGGACACAGGAAGGGGAACAUCACACUCUGGGGACUGUUGUGGGGUGGGGGGAGGGGGGAGGGAUAGCAUUAGGAGAUAUACCUAAUGUUAAAUGACAAGUUAAUGGGUGCAGCACACCAGCAUGGCACAUGUAUACAUAUGUAACUAACCUGCACAUUAUGCACAUGUACCCUAAAACUUAAAGUAUAAUAAUAAUAAAAUAAAAAAAGAAAAUUAAAAAAUAAAAAUUAAAAAAUAAAAUAAGAUCAUUUCUUAAAAAAAAAAUACUGUGAAUGAAAGCAAGAAAGGUGGCAUCAGUGAGAUGCCAUGAAGAGAGUCAGGGUUGGCAUAAGUUGUCUCACAGUGCCUUCAUGUAGCACUCCCAGAUUUCAAUUCAAGCCAAGCCACCUCUGUCAGGACAUUCACCAGGAGCCCCA
Molecule: long non-coding RNA, 1183 nt
Filed under: Homo sapiens (human)
Lineage: Eukaryota; Metazoa; Chordata; Mammalia; Primates; Hominidae
Description: HSALNT0349897
Source: RNAcentral